GAUGAACGCUGGCGGCGUGCCUAAUACAUGCAAGUCGAGCGAACGGACGAGAAGCUUGCUUCUCUGAUGUUAGCGGCGGACGGGUGAGUAACACGUGGAUAACCUACCUAUAUGACUGGGAUAACUUCGGGAAACCGGAGCUAAUACCGGAUAAUAUUUUGAACCGCAUGGUUCAAAAGUGAAAGACGGUCUUGCUGUCACUUAUAGAUGGAUCCGCGCUGCAUUAGCUAGUUGGUAAGGUAACGGCUUACCAAGGCAACGAUGCAUAGCCGACCUGAGAGGGUGAUCGGCCACACUGGAACUGAGACACGGUCCAGACUCCUACGGGAGGCAGCAGUAGGGAAUCUUCCGCAAUGGGCGAAAGCCUGACGGAGCAACGCCGCGUGAGUGAUGAAGGUCUUCGGAUCGUAAAACUCUGUUAUUAGGGAAGAACAUAUGUGUAAGUAACUGUGCACAUCUUGACGGUACCUAAUCAGAAAGCCACGGCUAACUACGUGCCAGCAGCCGCGGUAAUACGUAGGUGGCAAGCGUUAUCCGGAAUUAUUGGGCGUAAAGCGCGCGUAGGCGGUUUUUUAAGUCUGAUGUGAAAGCCCACGGCUCAACCGUGGAGGGUCAUUGGAAACUGGAAAACUUGAGUGCAGAAGAGGAAAGUGGAAUUCCAUGUGUAGCGGUGAAAUGCGCAGAGAUAUGGAGGAACACCAGUGGCGAAGGCGACUUUCUGGUCUGUAACUGACGCUGAUGUGCGAAAGCGUGGGGAUCAAACAGG
This 766-nucleotide ribosomal RNA is filed under the name Staphylococcus aureus. RNAcentral's name for it is "bacterial SSU rRNA". It matches the Rfam family "Bacterial small subunit ribosomal RNA", at positions 28 to 776 of the family's 1533-position model. The record is from RNAcentral. Lineage: Bacteria; Bacillati; Bacillota; Bacilli; Caryophanales; Staphylococcaceae.